ACAGCAGUCGCCGCGGUAAUACGUAGGGUGCAAGCGUUAAUCGGAAUUACUGGGCGUAAAGGGCUCGCAGGCGGUUUCUUAAGUCUGAUGUGAAAGCCCCGGCUCAACCGGGGAGGGUCAUUGGAAACUGGGAAACUUGAGUGCGGAAGAGGAGAGUGGAAUUCCACGUGUAGCGGUGAAAUGCGUAGAGAUGUGGAGGAACACCAGUGGCGAAGGCGACUCUCUGGUCUGUAACUGACGCUGAGGAGCGAAAGCGUGGGGAGCGAACAGGAUUAGAUACCCCAGUAGUCCCUGUCUCUUAUACA
RNAcentral lists this ribosomal RNA (305 nucleotides) under uncultured bacterium. RNAcentral's name for it is "partial 16S ribosomal RNA". It matches the Rfam family "Bacterial small subunit ribosomal RNA", at positions 508 to 808 of the family's 1533-position model. The record is from RNAcentral.